GACUAGAAAAUUCGAAAGUGGUUAGAGUCAGUCACAUUUUUAUUCUGAAUCUCUCCCCUACAGACUUUAAGAACUACAGAUUGAACUCCUUGUUCUACUACUUUCCCCCCUCCUCACUACUGCACUUGACUAGUCUUAA
This 139-nucleotide small RNA is filed under the name Propithecus coquereli (Coquerel's sifaka). RNAcentral describes it as "Y RNA (ENSPCOG00000006566.1)". Lineage: Eukaryota; Metazoa; Chordata; Mammalia; Primates; Indriidae. The record is from RNAcentral.